RNAcentral lists this ribosomal RNA (1128 nucleotides) under marine metagenome. Its description in RNAcentral is "bacterial SSU rRNA". It matches the Rfam family "Bacterial small subunit ribosomal RNA", at positions 8 to 1141 of the family's 1533-position model. The record is from RNAcentral.
AGAGUUUGAUCCUGGCUCAGGAUGAACGCUAGCGGCAGGCUUAACACAUGCAAGUCGAGGGGUAACAUUGUGCUUGCACAGAUGACGACCGGCGCACGGGUGCGUAACGCGUAUAGAACCUACCUUUUACAGGGGAAUAGCCUUUAGAAAUGAAGAUUAAUGCCUCAUGGUAUUGUAGACUGGCAUCAGUUUAUAAUUAAAGAUUUAUCGGUAAAAGAUGGCUAUGCGUCCUAUUAGUUAGUUGGUAAGGUAACGGCUUACCAAGACAGCGAUAGGUAGGGGUCCUGAGAGGGAGAUCCCCCACACUGGUACUGAGACACGGACCAGACUCCUACGGGAGGCAGCAGUGAGGAAUAUUGGACAAUGGAGGCAACUCUGAUCCAGCCAUGCCGCGUGCAGGAUGACGGCCCUAUGGGUUGUAAACUGCUUUUAUGUAGGAAGAAACACUCUCACGUGUGAGAGCUUGACGGUACUACAAGAAUAAGGACCGGCUAACUCCGUGCCAGCAGCCGCGGUAAUACGGAGGGUCCAAGCGUUAUCCGGAAUCAUUGGGUUUAAAGGGUCCGUAGGCGGGCUAUUAAGUCAGAGGUGAAAGUUUGCAGCUCAACUGUAAAAUUGCCUUUGAAACUGGUAGUCUUGAAUUAUUAUGAAGUGGUUAGAAUAAGUAGUGUAGCGGUGAAAUGCAUAGAUAUUACUUAGAAUACCAAUUGCGAAGGCAGAUCACUAAUAAUAUAUUGACGCUGAGGGACGAAAGCGUGGGGAGCGAACAGGAUUAGAUACCCUGGUAGUCCACGCCGUAAACGAUGGAUACUAGCUGUUCGGAUUUAUCUGAGUGGCUAAGCGAAAGUGAUAAGUAUCCCACCUGGGGAGUACGUUCGCAAGAAUGAAACUCAAAGGAAUUGACGGGGGCCCGCACAAGCGGUGGAGCAUGUGGUUUAAUUCGAUGAUACGCGAGGAACCUUACCAGGGCUUAAAUGUAGUCUGACAGGCGUGGAAACAUGCUUUUCUUCGGACAGAUUACAAGGUGCUGCAUGGUUGUCGUCAGCUCGUGCCGUGAGGUGUCAGGUUAAGUCCUAUAACGAGCGCAACCCCUGUUGUUAGUUGCCAGCGAGUCAUGUCGGGAACUCU